AGUCUGGUGCCAGCACCCGCGGUAAUUCCAGCUCCAAUAGCGUAUAUUAAAGUUGUUGCAGUUAAAAAGCUCGUAGUUGAAUUUUGGGCCGGGCCGGGCGGUCGCUCGCAAGGGUUGCACUGCCUGUGCCUGGCCUUUCCUUCUAGGGAUCCCGCGUGCUCUUAGUUGAGUGCGUGGGGGAACUAGGACCUUUACUUUGAAAAAAUUAGAGUGUUUAAAGCAGGCCUUUGCUUGAAUACUUCAGCAUGGAAUAAUAGAAUAGGACUUUGGCCCUAUUUUGUUGGUUUCUAGGACCGAAGUAAUGAUUAAUAGGGAUAGUUGGGGGCAUUAGUAUUUAAUUGUCAGAGGUGAAAUUCUUGGAUUUAUGAAAGACUAACUUCUGCGAAAGCAUCUGCCAAGGAUGUUUUCAUUAAUCAAGAACGAAAGUUAGGGGAUCGAAGACGAUUAGAUACCGUCGUAGUCUUAACCAUAAACUAUGCCGACUCGGGAUCGGGCGAUGUUAUUCAUGACUCGCUCGGCACCGUAUGAGAAAUCAAAGUUUUUGGGUUCUGGGGGGAGUAUGGUCGCAAGGCUGAAACUUAAAGGAAUUGACGGAAGGGCACCACCAGGAGUGGAGCCUGCGGCUUAAUUUGACCCAACACGGGGAAACUCACCAGGUCCAGACAUGAUAAGGAUUGACAGAUUGAGAGCUCUUUCUUGAUUUUAUGGGUGGUGGUGCAUGGCCGUUCUUAGUUGGUGGAGUGAUUUGUCUGGUUUAUUCCGAUAACGAACGAGACCUUAACCUGCUAAAUAGUCACCUGAACCUUGUGUUCGGGGCCGACUUCUUAGAGGGACUGUGGACGUGAAGUCCACGGAAGUUUGAGGCAAUAACAGGUCUGUGAUGCCCUUAGAUGUUCUGGGCCGCACGCGCGCUACACUGACGAACUCAGCGAGUUUAUAACCUUGGCCGGAAGGUCUGGGUAAUCUUGUGAAAGUUCGUCGUGAUGGGGAUAGUCCCUUGCAAUUAUUGGACUUCAACGAGGAAUUCCUAGUAAGUGCGAGUCAUCAGCUCGCGUUGAUUACGUCCCUGCCCUUUGUACACACCGCCCGUCGCUACUACCGAUUGAAUGGCUUAGUGAGGCCUCCGGAUUGACGUCAGGAGCCUAGCAAUAGGCACCUGUCGCCGAGAAGCUGGUCAAACUUGGUCAUUUAGAGGAAGUAAAAGUC
This 1206-nucleotide ribosomal RNA is filed under the name metagenome. RNAcentral describes it as "SSU rRNA". It matches the Rfam family "Eukaryotic small subunit ribosomal RNA", at positions 558 to 1790 of the family's 1831-position model. The record is from RNAcentral.